AAGCUCGUAGUUGAAUUUCGGGCCGGGUCGGGCGGUCGCUCGCAAGGGUUGCACUGCUUGCGCCUGGCCUUUCCUUCUAGGGAUCCAGAGUACUCUUAGCUGAGUGCUCUGGGGAACUAGGACGUUUACUUUGAAAAAAUUAGAGUGUUUAAAGCAGGCCUUUGCUUGAAUACUUCAGCAUGGAAUAAUAGAAUAGGACUUUGGUUCUAUUUUGUUGGUUCCUAGGACCGAGGUAAUGAUUAAUAGGGAUAGUUGGG
RNAcentral lists this ribosomal RNA (257 nucleotides) under uncultured Chytridiomycota. Its description in RNAcentral is "partial 18S ribosomal RNA". It matches the Rfam family "Eukaryotic small subunit ribosomal RNA", at positions 624 to 886 of the family's 1831-position model. The record is from RNAcentral. Lineage: Eukaryota; Fungi; Chytridiomycota.